GUAGUCUACGCUGUAAACGAUGAUCACUCGAUGUAUGCUCAUUAGAGCAUAUGUCCAAGCGAAAGCAUUAAGUGAUCCACCUGGGGAGUACGCUCGCAAGAGUGAAACUUAAAGGAAUUGACGGGGGUCCGCACAAGCGGUGGAACAUGUGGUUUAAUUCGCCUAUCCGCGAAGAACCUUACCUGGGCUUGAAUGUAUUUUUAGCUUCGAGAAAUCGGAAGUGUCUGAAAGGAAAGAUACAAGGUGGUGCAUGGCUGUCGUCAGCUCGUGCCGUGAGGUGUUUGGUUAAGUCCUAUAACGAGCGCAACCCCUAUACUUAGUUGCCAGCACAUAAUGGUGGGGACUCUAAGUAAACUGCCUGUGUAAACAGGA
Molecule: ribosomal RNA, 372 nt
Filed under: uncultured bacterium
Lineage: Bacteria
Description: bacterial SSU rRNA
Rfam family: Bacterial small subunit ribosomal RNA
Source: RNAcentral